GACGAACGCUGGCGGCGUGCUUAACACAUGCAAGUCGAACGGGUCUGCCCUGUUUUUUGCGGGGUGGGUCAGUGGCGAACGGGUGAGUAACACGUGAGUAACCUGCCCCUCACUUCUGGAUAACCGCUUGAAAGGGUGGCUAAUACGGGGUGUUCUGGCUGUGCCACAUGGUGUGGCUGGGAAAGAUUCACUUUUGUGGUGUUUUGGUGGGGGAUGGGCUCGCGGCCUAUCAGCUUGUUGGUGGGGUGAUGGCCUGCCAAGGCUUUGACGGGUAGCCGGCCUGAGAGGGUGGGCGGUCACACUGGGACUGAGAUACGGCCCAGACUCCUGCGGGAGGCAGCAGUGGGGGGUAUUGCACAAUGGGCGGAAGCCUGAUGCAGCGACGUCGCGUGAGGGAUGGAGGCCUUCGGGUUGUGAACCUCUUUCGCCGGUGAAGAAGGUCCUGCUCUUUGUGGUGGGGUUGACGGUAGCCGGGUUAUGAAGCGCCGGCUAACUACGUG
RNAcentral lists this ribosomal RNA (500 nucleotides) under uncultured bacterium. RNAcentral's name for it is "partial 16S ribosomal RNA". It matches the Rfam family "Bacterial small subunit ribosomal RNA", at positions 28 to 507 of the family's 1533-position model. The record is from RNAcentral.